GCGGCGGCGGCGCUGAGCGCGGGGCUGCAGCUCUUCGGGGCCCUGCAGGCCUGGGGCUGGGCCGCGACCCCCGCGCCCGGGCCCUGGGCAUGGUGGGGGCUGCAGCUGGGGGCGCGCCUGGCCGAGCUGGCCAUGGGGGGGGCGCUGGCCGCGCUCGCCUUCGCCGCCCCCCCGAGCGGCCGCGCCCCCCCCGGCGGCCCCGCGGAGCCCCCCGAGGGCGGCGGCGGGCGGGGAGCGGGCGAGGAGGCGGGGGCGCCCCCCGAGUCCCCCCUGGACGCGGACGGGGACCCCACGGCCGGGUUCCGGCCCCCGUCCCCCAUCGACCUGCGCCGCUCCAUCGACGAGGCCCUGGGGGCGCCGGGCAUGUUCCGCGCCGGGAACGGCGGCAUCGGGGGCACCCGGAUCGGCCUCACCGGCAACGCCGCGGGCGCCGGGAACACCGGCAUCGCCCUCACGGGCAGCGCCGGUAACGGUGGGAAAGCCAAAAGCAACGGGGUCAGCGUGCUCGGGAGCACCGGCAGCACCGAGAUCAGCGUCAUCAGCGCCGCCGGCAGCGCCCGCAGCGCCCUGAGCACCGGCAGCACCGGCACCAGCAGCACCGCGCUACCGGGGGGCGGCAGCGCCGCCAUGCCCGGGCUGGGCACCGGGAGCGCCAUCGGCACAGCCGGGGCUGCGGCAGCGGGCGGCACCGGCACGGCGGGGGCGGGCCCGGCCGGAACGGGUGGCACGACCGGCACGAAUAGCACGAAUGGCAAACCUGGCACGGCUGGAACAACCGGCACAGCUGGCACAGGUGGCGCUCCUGACUCAGCUGGCACAGCUGGAACACCCAGAGCAGCUGGCGCGGCUGGCAAAGCUGGAACAGCUGGAGCACCUGGAACAGCAGGAACAGCUGGCAAACCUGGCACAGCCGGAACACCUGGGGUAGCUGGUAAACCUGGUACAGCCGGCACACCUGGCACAGCUGCAACAACCAGCAAACCUGGCACAGCCGGCACAGCUGGCACAGCCAGCACACCUGGCACAGCUGCAACAACCAGCAAACCUGGUACAGCCGGUACACCUGGCACAGCUGCAACAACCAGCAAACCUAGUACAGCCAGCGCAGCCACCAUACCUGUCACAGCCAGCACAGCCGGCAAACCUGGCACAGCUUCGGCAACCAGCAAACCUAGCACAGCCAGCGCAGCUAGCGCAGCCAGCACACCUGGCACAGCCGGCAAAUCUGGCACAGUUGCAGCAACCAGCAAACCUGGCACAGCUGGCACAGCCAGCACACCUGGCACAGCUUCAGCAACCAGCAAACCUGGCACAGCCAGCACACCUGGCACAGCCAGCACACCUGGCACAGCUGGCACAGCCGGCGGGACAGAGCGUGGCACCCCCGGCACCACCAGGGACAGCAAAACCGCGCCCCCGGGAACCGGCAGCGCCGGCACCUCAGGGACGGGGACACCGAGCAACGCCAGCGGCACCAGCGGCACACCUGGAACAGCUGGAACCCCUGGCACACCUGGAACGCAGGGCCCUACAGCGCCUGGCACCGCUGGCCCGUCAGACCCCGGUUCCUCGGGCACAGCUGGGACACGGGGCCCUGGCACAGCUGGCACAGCCGGCGGUGCUGUCACCCCCGGUACCCCCGGCGCCGCCGGCAGCUCCGCCCCCCGCGGCCCCCCCACCGCCCCCCGCCCCUCGGGGCUGUCCCGCGCCGCCUCCUGCGGGGGGGGCCCGGCCCGGGGGGCGGAUCCCGGCGCGGCCCCCCCGAGCCCCGCGACCCCCGCGCAGGGCCCGGCCCGGGCGGCGCCGCCCCCUCUGCGGCCCUCGCAGANNNNNNNNNNNNNNNNNNNNNNNNNNNNNNNNNNNNNNNNN
Molecule: long non-coding RNA, 1869 nt
Organism: Junco hyemalis (dark-eyed junco)
Lineage: Eukaryota; Metazoa; Chordata; Aves; Passeriformes; Passerellidae
Source: Ensembl